CAAAAAAACGCAGUGAAUCAGUGCAAAAACGCAACGCACAUUCCCGCCUCUUUCUUCAGCCUUACAAUUUUUUUUCGUUUUGCGUGAUAUAUGUAAGUAUUCUGUGGUGCAUGUGCCAUCAGCCUUUUUACUCUCUUUCCUUCACUUUUCACGCAAAAAGGCGUCUGACACCAUUUAUUACUCAUUUUUCUCUCUCUCUCUCUCUCUCUUACUUUAGGUCUCCUCAUUUCUUUCUCAUUUUUUUUUUCUCUACAAUCCUCAACUUCUCAAGGUGGAGUCGUCGCUAAGAUCCAUAAAGAAGGUAUUCCGCCGGACCAGCAACGACUCAUCUUCGCUGGGAAGCAGCUCGAAGACUGCCGCACCCUCGCCGGCUACAACACUCGCCAGCCAUCUCUCUAUCUUUCUCCUGCCAAAUAGAUACCGUCGUUCGCCGGCGACAGCAGCAGCAGCACCACCCUCUCCGUCCUCUCUUUAUCUCCCAUAUACUCAUUCUUCCAAAAGUCUCUCUCCUCUUCGUUUUCUCAUUGUCAGUGGCCAUAAUCCGGCGCUUCAGAAGUUAUUAAGUGCAUUCGCUCCUUUGAUGGCAUCGAGGCUGUGACGAUCGACGGCCAGAACCGCUCUUCCGCUGUAGUAUUAAAGCUUCUGGUGGAUCCAAACUCUUGAGUUUAUGUUAUUCUUUGUUCAUUCAUUUAUUUCAGUUUGCGAUAGUAUUAAAGCUCAGAACCGCUCUUCCACCGUGGAAACAAGAGGUUAAGACUAUUAGCUGAAAUAUCCCUAAAGGUGGAUAAUCACAGUUGUUGUAUUCUUACGUGCAUUCGCUUAAUUACUUGGUAACGAAAUAAUACCUGCAAUUUUUCUAGAUGAUGUUUAAAUUGAGUGGCUGCAAGGAUAUGUUAAAUGUGACCGUGGUUUUCACAGAAAGAAGAUUGAUUUUCGUUUUAUUUUCUGAGUUGAUGUUAUUGGGAUUUUCCUUUAGAUUAGCUCUAAUUUUUUUGUGUUGGGAACUUGCCAUACCAGGCAGCCCCACAUCUUCCUGUCAUUCCCACUUGAGUAAGGAUGUCUUCCUCAUCUACUAUUGUAUAUCAUACUAUUUUUCUGUGAUUUCUGCAGAUGUGCGAACUCAAGCAAUGUAUUGGCUAUUGGAUUCUGGGUUUAUUGGUUUGAUAUGUUCCUGUUUCAGUGAAGAUGCUCAAAGGUUGGAAGGAUUCAAGUCAUUGCAUUUCAGUCUAUGGAUGGGAAGCAGGGUCACAUGAUGAAACCUCUUUCUCUCACUCCUAUUUUAAAAAGUGCUAUUAUAGAUGUAGAGUCAUCCAUGAGUUCUUCAGAUAAUGCAAUUGCGGUGUUUGGUUCUUCCAAAGGAGAAACUAUGGAACAAUACACUGGAGAUUCGGAGGUAGCUGGUAGGGCUUCUAAGGAAAUGGAAUUCUCUCUCAUUCACCAUCCACUCAAGCCCAACUUUUUUCACCACUCUCUCUCAUCCCUUCCCGCCGCAAGAAAGAGAUGCUCUUACAGGAAUACGGCGUCUUUAGGGUGCCACUGUUUGUCGUCGUCUUUGGAAUUGCAUUUCCAGAAUGAGGAGUGGGAGGCGCUGCUGAGCUGUCUCAUUGCUGCAAGUUGUUUUGGGGAUUUUCAAGCUCCAUUGAAGAAGUCAGUCGGGCCUACAAGAAGAUCACCUCUAGAUGGUAACGAUGCACCUGAGCGGCGUGUAUGUAAAGCUGCAGCCCGUGCUCUGGCUAUAUUGGGGGAGAAUGAGAUUCUGCGCCGUGCUAUUAGAUGAAGACAAGUUCCCAAGUGAGGAUUGCGCAUACCUACAAUGGAUGGUGGUGGCAUGAAAUUGAGAAGGGUACUAGAAAGCAAAUUCAUGAGCUUUUUGACCUUAUUUGUUGAACAUCUACUGGUGGUAUGCUUGCUGUUGCUCUUGAAAUAUAAUUAUUGUCCUUGGAAAAGUGUGAAGAAAUAUACAAAGAACUUGGAAAGCUUGGAGUUUGCUGAACCUGUUCCUAAGGAAAAUAAAGCAGCAACAUGGAGAGAAAAACUGGAUGAACUCUACCAAAGCUCAUCACAGAGUUUGCGUGUUGUAGUUCAUAGAGCUAAAAUUUUUUCAGUUUUCACGCAAGCCUCUCCUCCCUAUCUUCUCCAUCUUCUCCGCUGCCUCCUCUCUCCUUUCGACUCAGUCUGCGGCAACUCCAUCAAUGGUUUCUACGACGGCGAUGCCAACGUUGACCGGCUGUUCACAUCCAAAUCAUACGACGCAUGGGAGCUGAUCUGGUGCGAGGCGGAGCACACGCUACUGGCGGACUCGAGUAGAGCGCCAUGGUUGAAACUGCCAUAAGUUCAGAUUUCUAGCUUCUCACAGAAAAUUGAGCACCCCGGAAAACCGUAAUCGGAGAAAUUACAGCAAAUUGAAGGCCAAAACUUUAUUUUCUGGCUUCUCUGAAUCUGUAUGAGAUGAAAAGACCAAUGUAUUGAUCUUUGAUUAUCGAUGUGGACCCAAAUAAUAUCUGCUACACUAAUGAAUAUAAAUAACAUAUAAAGUUAUGUAGUCAUAUUAUAGCUGCCCCCACAUCGCUUAAAUAGGAAAAAUAUUACAAUUACAAGUAGAGUUUUUUACAUCAUUUU
RNA transcript from Salvia miltiorrhiza (redroot sage), 2619 nucleotides. RefSeq lists it as uncharacterized. The record is from RefSeq and is a predicted model, not a curated record. Lineage: Eukaryota; Viridiplantae; Streptophyta; Magnoliopsida; Lamiales; Lamiaceae. The transcript is spliced from 8 exons.